GGGGAUUUAGCUCAGUGGCAUUAAGCGCCUGCCUGGCAAGCACGAGGUUGUGAGUUCAAUCCCCG
Molecule: transfer RNA, 65 nt
Filed under: Cavia porcellus (domestic guinea pig)
Lineage: Eukaryota; Metazoa; Chordata; Mammalia; Rodentia; Caviidae
Rfam family: tRNA
About the family: Transfer RNA (tRNA) molecules are approximately 80 nucleotides in length. Their secondary structure includes four short double-helical elements and three loops (D, anti-codon, and T loops).
Source: Rfam by way of RNAcentral